CUGAGACAUUUUGACAUAUGUGGUUAAAUUUUCGGGGUACGAAGUGAGAUUACUUUUUCCGUAAAUUAGCAAACCCCGAGUAUCCUUUUGUGAUGCGGCUCCUCAUGGUAAAAAAUCCCAUUUUUAACACAAUAAGUUCUUUGAAAAUUUAAUACUUUGAACACAUUUAAUAGCUCCAUAGUUUUUACACAUUUAUUCUGUGUUCCCUACUUUCUAAAUUAACUCAAAUGGUUAAGCUCAGUCACUUGUUUAUCAUAGAAAAGUGUCAAAUAUCACUACACAGA
This 284-nucleotide long non-coding RNA is filed under the name Mytilus galloprovincialis (Mediterranean mussel). The record is from RNAcentral. Lineage: Eukaryota; Metazoa; Mollusca; Bivalvia; Mytilida; Mytilidae.